This 497-nucleotide ribosomal RNA is filed under the name uncultured bacterium. RNAcentral describes it as "partial 16S ribosomal RNA". It matches the Rfam family "Bacterial small subunit ribosomal RNA", at positions 28 to 507 of the family's 1533-position model. The record is from RNAcentral.
GAUGAACGCUGGCGGCGUGCCUAAUACAUGCAAGUCGAGCGAACGGACGCGAAGCUUGCUUUUCUGAUGUUAGCGGCGGACGGGUGAGUAACACGUGGAUAACCUACCUAUAAGACUGGGAUAACUUCGGGAAACCGGAGCUAAUACCGGAUAAUAUUUUGAACCGCAUGGGUCAAAAGUGAAAGACGGUCUUGCUGUCACUUAUAGAUGGAUCCGCGCUGCAUUAGCUAGUUGGUAAGGUAACGGCUUACCAAGGCAACGAUGCAUAGCCGACCUGAGAGGGUGGUCGGCCACACUGGAACUGGGACACGGUCCAGACUCCUACGGGAGGCAGCAGUAGGGAAUCUUCCGCAAUGGGCGAAAGCCUGACGGAGCAACGCCGCGUGAGUGAUGAAGGUCUUCGGAUCGUAAAACUCUGUUAUUAGGGAAGAACAUAUGUGUAAGUAACUGUGCACAUCUUGACGGUACCUAAUCAGAAAGCCACGGCUAACUACGUG